GACCAUAGGGGGGCGACUAGCUAGGCUAGGGUUUUUUCUUUUUUUUUUCUGAUAAGUAUUGGGCUAGGGUUAGGCUGAAAUUGGGUUUGGGUUUGAUUUGUUUGGGUUAAUGGUUUUUGGUUUUGGGUAGGUAGUUAGGUUGAUUUUAUUUUAUUGGGCCCGGGCAGAAUUUGGGCUGUACGUUUAUAAUUAUCUUUAAUGUUUUUCGCGUAUUUAGUUUCAAUAAAAUAUUUAAUAUGGCAUUUGCAUGUAAAACAAAUUUGAGAAAAA
Molecule: long non-coding RNA, 270 nt
Filed under: Gossypium barbadense (sea-island cotton)
Lineage: Eukaryota; Viridiplantae; Streptophyta; Magnoliopsida; Malvales; Malvaceae
Description: long non-coding RNA (GBAR_LNC011717)
Source: RNAcentral